Molecule: long non-coding RNA, 498 nt
Filed under: Ananas comosus (pineapple)
Lineage: Eukaryota; Viridiplantae; Streptophyta; Magnoliopsida; Poales; Bromeliaceae
Description: long non-coding RNA (ACOM_LNC036441)
Source: RNAcentral
UGAUGGAAUUUCCAAAUUGACGAUCGGCUCCGUUAGACUUGAUCUAGUGUAUUUGAAGUUUCUAGAAAAUAAUUUUUGCGAUUUUUUGAUAUCAUUUAUCUAGUGAUCGAAAUGAUUCAAAAUCAAUAAUUUUUAAUGGUUGAUAUCUACCGUUUUCAAAUUUAACGGUGUAGAAGUAUUCAAAUCAGAUGAAAUUUUGAUACAAAAUUCUUUAUACUAUCUAUAACAAGAUCAAUAUUUCUGAUCGAAAAUUUUAGUGCUAUAUCACCAUUUUUUAUAGGAUUUUUAUUUCCAGCCAUUAAAAAUUAUUGAUUUUGAAUCCUUUCGAUUGUUAGGUAAAUGAUAUCGAAUAAUCGCAAAAAUUAUUUUCUAAAAACUUCAAAUACGCUAGAUCAAGUCUAACGGAGCCAAUCGUCGAUUCGGAAAUUCUAUCAUCGAAAACGGCUCAGGAGCACGGAGGCCUCCAUGCUCCUGAGAGCACAACAGUCCUGCUCUCUC